Molecule: ribosomal RNA, 257 nt
Filed under: uncultured bacterium
Lineage: Bacteria
Description: partial 16S ribosomal RNA
Rfam family: Bacterial small subunit ribosomal RNA
Source: RNAcentral
UACGAAGGGUGCAAGCGUUGUCCGGAAUUAUUGGGCGUAAAGAGCUCGUAGGCGGUUUGUCGCGUCGGCUGUGAAAACUCGGGGCUCAACCCCGAGCCUGCAGUCGAUACGGGCAGACUAGAGUGCUGUAGGGGAGACUGGAAUUCCUGGUGUAGCGGUGAAAUGCGCAGAUAUCAGGAGGAACACCGGUGGCGAAGGCGGCUUGCUGGGCCUUACCUGACGCUGGAGGGAAGCGAAAGGCGUGGGGAGCGAACAGG